RNAcentral lists this ribosomal RNA (497 nucleotides) under uncultured bacterium. Its description in RNAcentral is "partial 16S ribosomal RNA". It matches the Rfam family "Bacterial small subunit ribosomal RNA", at positions 28 to 507 of the family's 1533-position model. The record is from RNAcentral.
GAUGAACGCUGGCGGCGUGCCUAAUACAUGCAAGUCGAGCGGACGGACGAGAAGCUUGCGUCUCUGAGGUUAGCGGCGGACGGGUGAGUAACACGUGGAUAACCUACCUAUAAGACUGGGAUAACUUCGGGAAACCGGAGCUAAUACCGGAUAAUAUUUUGAACCGCAUGGUUCAAAAGUGAAAGACGGUCUUGCUGUCACUUAUAGAUGGAUCCGCGCUGCAUUAGCUAGUUGGUAAGGUAACGGCUUACCAAGGCAACGAUGCAUAGCCGACCUGAGAGGGUGAUCGGCCACACUGGACCUGAGACACGGUCCAGACUCCGCCGGGGGGCCGCAGUAGGGACUCUUCCGCAAUGGGCGAAAGCCUGACGGUGCACCGCCGCGUGAGUGAUGAAGGUCUUCGGAUCGUAAAACUCUGUUAUUCGGAAGGAACAUAUGUGUAAGUAACUGUGCACAUCUUGACGGUACCUAAUCAGAAAGCCACGGCUAACUACGUG